Xyrichtys novacula (pearly razorfish) is the source of this 17367-nucleotide non-coding RNA. Lineage: Eukaryota; Metazoa; Chordata; Actinopteri; Labriformes; Labridae. The record is from the annotation of a GenBank genome assembly.
UUGGGGCAGGUGUUGUUGUUGUUGUUGUUGUUGGGGCAGCUGUUGUUGUUGUUGUUGUUUGGGCAGGUGUUGUUGUUGUUGUUGUUGGGGCAGAUGUUGUUGUUGUUGUUGUUGUUGUUGUUGUUGGGGCAGGUGUUGUUGUUGUUGUUGUUGUUGGGGCAGGUGUUGUUGUUGUUGUUGUUGUUGGGGAUGGUGUUGUUGUUGUUGUUGUUGGGGCAGGUGUUGUUGUUGUUGUUGUUGGGGCAGGUGUUGUUGUUGUUGUUGGGGCUGGUGUUGUUGUUGUUGUUGGGGAAGGUGUUGUUGUUGUUGUUGUCGGGGCAGGUGUUGUUGUUGUUGUUGUUGUUGGGGCAGGUGUUGUUGUUGUUGGGGCAGGUGUUGUUGUUGUUGUUGGGGCAGGUGUUGUUGUUGUUGUCAGGGCAGGUGUUGUUGUUGUUGUUGUUGGGGCAGAUGUUGUUGUUGUUGUUGUUGUUGUUGGGGCAGGUGUUGUUGUUGUCGGGGCAGGUGUUGUUGUUGUUGUUGUUGUUGGGGCAGGUGUUGUUGUUGUUGUUGUUGGGGAAGGUGUUGUUGUUGUUGUUGGGGCAGGUGUUGUUGUUGUUGUUGUUGGGGCAGGUGUUGUUGUUGUUGUUGGGGCAGGUGUUGUUGUUGUUGGGGCAGGUGUUGUUGUUGUUGUUGGGGCAGGUGUUGUUGUUGUUGUUGUUGGGGCAGGUGUUGUUGUUGUUGUUGGGGCAGGUGUUGUUGUUGUUGUUGUCAGGGCAGGUGUUGUUGUUGUUGUUGUUGUUGUUGGGGCAGGUGUUGUUGUUGUUGUUGUCAGGGCAGGUGUUGUUGUUGUUGUUGGUGCAGAUGUUGUUGUUGUUGGGGCAGGUGUUGUUGUUGUUGUUGUUGGGGCAGGUGUUGUUGUUGUUGUUGUCGGGGCAGGUGUUGUUGUUGUUGUUGGGGCAGGUGUUGUUGUUGUUGUUGUUGGGGCAGGUGUUGUUGUUGUUGUUGUUGUCAGGGCAGGUGUUGUUGUUGUUGUUGUUGUUGGGGCAGAUGUUGUUGUUGUUGUUGUUGUUGUUGGGGCAGGUGUUGUUGUUGUUGUUGUCGGGGCAGGUGUUGUUGUUGUUGUUGUUGGGGCAGGUGUUGUUGUUGUUGUUGGGGAAGGUGUUGUUGUUGUUGUUGGGGCAGGUGUUGUUGUUGUUGUUGUUGUUGUUGUCGGGGCAGGUGUUGUUGUUGUUGUUGUUGGGGCAGGUGUUGUUGUUGUUGUUGUCAGGGCAGGUGUUGUUGUUGUUGUUGUUGUUGUUGGGGCAGGUGUUGUUGUUGUUGUUGUCAGGGCAGGUGUUGUUGUUGUUGUUGUUGUUGGGGCAGAUGUUGUUGUUGUUGUUGUUGUUGUUGGGGCAGGUGUUGUUGUUGUUGUUGUUGGGGCAGGUGUUGUUGUUGUUGUUGUCGGGGCAGGUGUUGUUGUUGUUGUUGUUGUUGGGGCAGAUGUUGUUGUUGUUGUUGUUGGGGCAGGUGUUGUUGUUGUUGUUGUCGGGGCAGGUGUUGUUGUUGUUGUUGUUGGGGCAGGUGUUGUUGUUGUUGUUGUUGGGGAAGGUGUUGUUGUUGUUGUUGGGGCAGGUGUUGUUGUUGUUGUUGUUGUUGUCGGGGCAGGUGUUGUUGUUGUUGUUGUUGGGGCAGGUGUUGUUGUUGUUGUUGGGGCAGGUGUUGUUGUUGUUGUUGUUGGGGCAGGUGUUGUUGUUGUUGUUGUUGGGGCAGGUGUUGUUGUUGUUGUUGUUGUUGGGGAAGGUGUUGUUGUUGUUGGGGCAGGUGUUGUUGUUGUUGUUGGGGCAGGUGUUGUUGUUGUUGUUGUUGUUGGGGCAGGUGUUGUUGUUGUUGUUGGGGCAGGUGUUGUUGUUGUUGUUGUCGGGUUAGGUGUUGUUGUUGUUGUUGUCGGGGCAGGUGUUGUUGUUGUUGUUGUUGUUGGGGCAGGUGUUGUUGUUGUUGGGGCAGGUGUUGUUGUUGUUGUUGGGGCAGGUGUUGUUGUUGUUGUUGUUGUUGGGCAGGUGUUGUUGUUGUUGUUGUUGGGGCAGGUGUUGUUGUUGUUGUUGUUGUUGUUGUUGUUGUUGUUGUUGGGGCAGGUGUUGUUGUUGUUGUUGUUGUUGGGGAAGGUGUUGUUGUUGUUGUUGUCAGGGCAGGUGUUGUUGUUGUUGUUGGGGCAGGUGUCGUUGUUGGGGCAGGUGUUGUUGUUGUUGUUGUUGUUGGGGCAGGUGUUGUUGUUGUUGUUGGGGCAGGUGUUGUUGUUGUUGUUGUUGUUGGGGCAGGUGUUGUUGUUGUUGUUGGGGCAGGUGUUGUUGUUGUCGGGGUAGGUGUUGUUGUUGUUGUUGUCGGGGCAGGUGUUGUUGUUGUUGUUGUUGUUGUUGGGGCAGGUGUUGUUGUUGUUGGGGCAGGUGUUGUUGUUGUUGUUGGGGCAGGUGUUGUUGUUGUUGUUGUUGGGGCAGGUGUUGUUGUUGUUGUUGUUGUUGUUGGGGCAGAUGUUGUUGUUGUUGUUGUUGUUGUUGGGGCAGGUGUUGUUGUUGUUGUUGUUGGGGCAGGUGUUGUUGUUGUUGUUGUUGUCGGGGCAGGUGUUGUUGUUGUUGUUGGGGCAGGUGUUGUUGUUGUUGUUGUUGGGGCAGGUGUUGUUGUUGUUAGGGCAGGUGUUGUUGUUGUUGUUGUUGUUGGGGCAGAUGUUGUUGUUGUUGUUGUUGGGGCAGGUGUUGUUGUUGUUGUUGUUGGGGCAGGUGUUGUUGUUGUUGUUGUCAGGGCAGGUGUUGUUGUUGUUGUUGUUGUUGGGGCAGAUGUUGUUGUUGUUGUUGUUGGGGCAGGUGUUGUUGUUGUUGUUGUUCAGGGCAGGUGUUGUUGUUGUUGUUGUUGUUGGGGCAGAUGUUGUUGUUGUUGUUGGGGCAGGUGUUGUUGUUGUUGUUGUUGGGGCAGGUGUUGUUGUUGUUGUUGUUGGGGCAGGUGUUGUUGUUGUUGUUGGGGCAGGUGUUGUUGUUGUUGUUGUUGUUGUCGGGGCAGGUGUUGUUGUUGUUGUUGUUGGGGCAGGUGUUGUUGUUGUUGUUGUUGGGGCAGGUGUUGUUGUUGUUGGGGCAGGUGUUGUUGUUGUUGUUGGGGCAGGUGUUGUUGUUGUUGUUGUUGGGGCAGGUGUUGUUGUUGUUGUUGUUGGGGCAGGUGUUGUUGUUGUUGUUGUUGGGGCAGGUGUUGUUGUUGUUGUUGUUGGGGCAGGUGUUGUUGUUGUUGGGGCAGGUGUUGUUGUUGUUGUUGUCGGGGCAGGUGUUGUUGUUGUUGUUGUUGGGGAAGGUGUUGUUGUUGUUGUUGGGGCAGGUGUUGUUGUUGUUGUUGUCGGGGCAGGUGUUGUUGUUGUUGUUGUCGGGGCAGGUGUUGUUGUUGUUGUUGUUGUUGGGGCAGGUGUUGUUGUUGUUGUUGUUGGGGCAGGUGUUGUUGUUGUUGUUGUUGGGGAAGGUGUUGUUGUUGUUGUCGGGGCAGGUGUUGUUGUUGUUGUUGUUGUUGGGGCAGGUGUUGUUGUUGUUGUUGGGGAAGGUGUUGUUGUUGUUGUUGGGGCAGGUGUUGUUGUUGUUGUUGUUGGGGCAGUUGUUGUUGUUGUUGUUGUUGUUGUUGGGGCAGGUGUUGUUGUUGUUGUUGUUGGGGAAGGUGUUGUUGUUGUUGUCGGGGCAGGUGUUGUUGUUGUUGUUGUUGUUGGGGCAGGUGUUGUUGUUGUUGUUGUUGGGGAAGGUGUUGUUGUUGUUGUUGGGGCAGGUGUUGUUGUUGUUGUUGUUGGGGCAGGUGUUGUUGUUGUUGUUGUUGUUGGGGCAGGUGUUGUUGUUGUUGUUGUUGGGGCAGGUGUUGUUGUUGUUGUUGUGGCAGGUGUUGUUGUUGUUGUUGUUGGGGCAGGUGUUGUUGUUGGGGCAGGUGUUGUUGUUGUUGUUGGGGCAGGUGUUGUUGUUGGGGCAGGUGUUGUUGUUGUUGUUGUUGGGGCAGGUGUUGUUGUUGUUGUUGGGGCAGGUGUUGUUGUUGUUGUUGUCAGGGCAGGUGUUGUUGUUGUUGUUGUUGGGGCAGAUGUUGUUGUUGUUGUUGUUGUUGGGGCAGGUGUUGUUGUUGUUGUUGUUGUCGGGGCAGGUGUUGUUGUUGUUGUUGUCGGGGCAGGUGUUGUUGUUGUUGUUGUUGGGGCAGGUGUUGUUGUUGUUGUUGUUGUUGGGAAAAGGUGUUGUUGUUGUUGGGGCAGGUGUUGUUGUUGUUGUUGUUGUUGGGGCAGGUGUUGUUGUUGUUGGGGAAGGUGUUGUUGUUGUUGUUGGGGAAGGUGUUGUUGUUGUUGUCGGGGCAGGUGUUGUUGUUGUUGUUGUUGUUGUUGGGGCAGGUGUUGUUGUUGUUGUUGUUGUUGGGGCAGGUGUUGUUGUUGUUGUUGUUGUUGGGGAAGGUGUUGUUGUUGUUGGGGCAGGUGUUGUUGUUGUUGUUGUUGGGGCAGGUGUUGUUGUUGUUGUUGUUGGGGCAGGUGUUGUUGUUGUUGUUGUUGGGGCAGGUGUUGUUGUUGUUGUUGUUGUUGUUGUCAGGGCAGGUGUUGUUGUUGUUGUUGUUGGGGCAGAUGUUGUUGUUGUUGUUGUUGUUGUUGGGGCAGGUGUUGUUGUUGUUGUCGGGGCAGGUGUUGUUGUUGUUGUUGGGGCAGGUGUUGUUGUUGUUGUUGUUGUUGGGGCAGGUGUUGUUGUUGUUGUUGGGGCAGGUGUUGUUGUUGUUGUUGUGGCAGGUGUUGUUGUUGUUGUUGUUGUUGGGGCAGGUGUUGUUGUUGGGGCAGGUGUUGUUGUUGUUGUUGGGGCAGGUGUUGUUGUUGGGGCAGGUGUUGUUGUUGUUGUUGUUGGGGCAGGUGUUGUUGUUGUUGUUGGGGCAGGUGUUGUUGUUGUUGUUGUUGGGGCAGGUGUUGUUGUUGUUGUUGUUGGGGCAGAUGUUGUUGUUGUUGUUGUUGUUGGGGGUGUUGUUGUUGUUGUUGUUGUCGGGGCAGGUGUUGUUGUUGUUGUUGUCGGGGCAGGUGUUGUUGUUGUUGUUGUUGGGGCAGGUGUUGUUGUUGUUGUUGUUGUUGGGAAAGGUGUUGUUGUUGUUGGGGCAGGUGUUGUUGUUGUUGUUGUUGUUGGGGCAGGUGUUGUUGUUGUUGGGGAAGGUGUUGUUGUUGUUGUUGGGGAAGGUGUUGUUGUUGUUGUCGGGGCAGGUGUUGUUGUUGUUGUUGUUGUUGGGGCAGGUGUUGUUGUUGUUGUUGUUGGGGCAGGUGUUGUUGUUGUUGUUGGGGCAGGUGUUGUUGUUGUUGUUGUUGGGGCAGGUGUUGUUGUUGUUGUUGGGGCAGGUGUUGUUGUUGUUGUCGGGGCAGGUGUUGUUGUUGUUGUUGUUGGGGCAGGUGUUGUUGUUGUUGUUGUUGGGGCAGGUGUUGUUGUUGUUGUUGUUGGGGCAGGUGUUGUUGUUGUUGUUGUCGGGGCAGGUGUUGUUGUUGUUGUUGUCGGGGCAGGUGUUGUUGUUGUUGUUGUUGGGGCAGGUGUUGUUGUUGUUGUUGGGGCAGGUGUUGUUGUUGUUGUUGUUGUUGUCGGGGCAGGUGUUGUUGUUGUUGUUGUUGGGGCAGGUGUUGUUGUUGUUGUUGUUGGGGCAGGUGUUGUUGUUGUUUUUGGGGCAGGUGUUGUUGUUGUUGUUGGGGAAGGUGUUGUUGUUGUUGUUGGGGCAGGUGUUGUUGUUGUUGUUGUUGGGGCAGGUGUUGUUGUUGUUGUUGGGGCAGGUGUUGUUGUUGUUGUUGUCAGGGCAGGUGUUGUUGUUGUUGGGGCAGAUGUUGUUGUUGUUGUUGUUGGGGCAGGUGUUGUUGUUGUUGUUGUUGUCAGGUGUUGUUGUUGUUGUUGUCGGGGCAGGUGUUGUUGUUGUUGUUGUUGGGGCAGGUGUUGUUGUUGGGGCAGGUGUUGUUGUUGUUGUUGUUGGGGCAGGUGUUGUUGUUGUUGUUGUUGUUGGGGCAGGUGUUUUUGUUGUUGUUGUUGGGGCAGGUGUUGUUGUUGUUGUUGGGGAAGGUGUUGUUGUUGUUGUUGGGGAAGGUGUUGUUGUUGUUGUUGUCAGGGCAGGUGUUGUUGUUGUUGUUGUUGGGGCAGAUGUUGUUGUUGUUGUUGGGGCAGGUGUUGUUGUUGUUGUUGUCAGGGCAGGUGUUGUUGUUGUUGUUGUUGGGGCAGGUGUUGUUGUUGUUGUUGUCAGGGCAGGUGUUGUUGUUGUUGUUGUUGGGGCAGAUGUUGUUGUUGUUGUUGUUGUUGUUGGGGCAGGUGUUGUUGUUGUCGGGGCAGGUGUUGUUGUUUUUGUUGUUGUUGGGGCAGGUGUUGUUGUUGUUGUUGUUGUUGUUGGGGAAGGUGUUGUUGUUGUUGUUGUUGUUCGGGCAGGUGUUGUUGUUGUUGUUGUUGGGGAAGGUGUUGUUGUUGUUGUUGGAGCAGGUGUUGUUGUUGUUGUUGUCAGGGCAGGUGUUGUUGUUGUUGUUGUUGUUGGGGCAGAUGUUGUUGUUGUUGUUGUUGUUGUUGGGGCAGGUGUUGUUGUUGUUGUUGUCGGGGCAGGUGUUGUUGUUGUUGUUGUUGUUGGGGAAGGUGUUGUUGUUGUUGUUGGGGCAGGUGUUGUUGUUGUUGUUGUUGUUGUCGGGGCAGGUGUUGUUGUUGUUGUUGUUGGGGCAGUUUGUUGUUGUUGUUGUUGUUGUUGGGGCAGGUGUUGUUGUUGUUGUUGUUGGGGCAGGUGUUGUUGUUGUUGGGGCAGGUGUUGUUGUUGUUGUUGGGGCAGGUGUUGUUGUUGUUGUUGUCGGUGCAGGUGUUGUUGUUGUUGUUGUUGUUGUUGGGGCAGGUGUUGUUGUUGUUGUUGUUGGGGCAGGUGUUGUUGUUGUUGUUGUUGGGGCAGGUGUUGUUGUUGUUGUUGUUGGGGAAGGUGUUGUUGUUGUUGUUGGGGCAGGUGUUGUUGUUGUUGUUGUUGGGGCAGGUGUUGUUGUUGUUGUUGGGGCAGGUGUUGUUGUUGUUGUUGUCGGGGCAGGUGUUGUUGUUGUUGUUGUAGGGGCAGGUGUUGUUGUUGUUGUUGUUGGGGCAGGUGUUGUUGUUGUUGUUGUUGGGGAAGGUGUUGUUGUUGUUGUUGUCGGGGCAGGUGUUGUUGUUGUUGUUGUUGUUGGGGCAGGUGUUGUUGUUGUUGUUGUUGGGGAAGGUGUUGUUGUUGUUGUUGGGGCAGGUGUUGUUGUUGUUGUUGUUGGGGCAGGUGUUGUUGUUGUUGUUGUUGUUGUUGGGGCAGGUGUUGUUGUUGUUGUUGUUGGGGAAGGUGUUGUUGUUGUUGUCGGGGCAGGUGUUGUUGUUGUUGUUGUUGUUGGGGCAGGUGUUGUUGUUGUUGUUGUUGUUGGGGAAGGUGUUGUUGUUGUUGUUGGGGCAGGUGUUGUUGUUGUUGUUGUUGGGGCAGGUGUUGUUGUUGUUGGGGCAGGUGUUGUUGUUGUUGUUGUUGUGGCAGGUGUUGUUGUUGUUGUUGUGGCAGGUGUUGUUGUUGUUGUUGUUGUUGGGGAAGGUGUUGUUGUUGGGGCAGGUGUUGUUGUUGUUGUUGGGGCAGGUGUUGUUGUUGUUGUUGUUGGGGCAGGUGUUGUUGUUGUUGUUGUUGUUGGGGCAGGUGUUGUUGUUGUUGUUGUUGGGGCAGUUGUUGUUGUUGUUGUUGUUGGGGCAGGUGUUGUUGUUGUUGUUGUCAGGGCAGGUGUUGUUGUUGUUGUUGUUGGGGCAGAUGUUGUUGUUGUUGUUGGGGCAGGUGUUGUUGUUGUUGUUGUUGUUGUCGGGGCAGGUGUUGUUGUUGUUGUUGUUGUCGGGGCAGGUGUUGUUGUUGUUGGGGCAGGUGUUGUUGUUGUUGUUGUUGUUGGGAAAGGUGUUGUUGUUGUUGGGGCAGGUGUUGUUGUUGUUGUUGUUGUUGGGGCAGGUGUUGUUGUUGUUGGGGAAGGUGUUGUUGUUGUUGUUGGGGAAGGUGUUGUUGUUGUUGUCGGGGCAGGUGUUGUUGUUGUUGUUGUUGUUGGGGCAGGUGUUGUUGUUGUUGUUGUUGGGGCAGGUGUUGUUGUUGUUGUUGGGGCAGGUGUUGUUGUUGUUGUUGUCAGGGCAGGUGUUGUUGUUGUUGUUGUUGGGGCAGGUGUUGUUGUUGUUGUUGUCAGGGCAGGUGUUGUUGUUGUUGUUGUUGGGGCAGAUGUUGUUGUUGUUGUUGUUGGGGCAGGUGUUGUUGUUGUUGUCGGGGCAGGUGUUGUUGUUGUUGUUGGGGCAGGUGUUGUUGUUUUUGUUGUUGGGGAAGGUGUUGUUGUUGUUGUUGGGGCAGGUGUUGUUGUUGUUGUUGUUGUUGUCGGGGCAGGUGUUGUUGUUGUUGUUGUUGGGGCAGGUGUUGUUGUUGUUGUUGUUGGGGCAGGUGUUGUUGUUGUUUUUGGGGCAGGUGUUGUUGUUGUUGUUGGGGCAGGUGUUGUUGUUGUUGUUGGGGCAGGUGUUGUUGUUGUUGUUGUCGGGGCAGGUGUUGUUGUUGUUGUUGUCGGGGCAGGUGUUGUGGUUGUUGUUGUUGUUGAGGCAGGUGUUGUUGUUGUUGUUGUUGGGGAAGGUGUUGUUGUUGUUGGGGCAGGUGUUGUUGUUGUUGUUGUUAAGGCAGGUGUUGUUGUUGUUGUUGUUGGGGCAGGUGUUGUUGUUGUCAGGGCAGGUGUUGUUGUUGGGGCAGAUGUUGUUGUUGUUGUUGUUGGGGAAGGUGUUGUUGUUGUUGUUGUCGGGGCAGGUGUUGUUGUUGUUGUUGUCGGGGCAGGUGUUGUUGUUGUUGUUGUUGUUGUUGGGGCAGGUGUUGUUGUUGUUGUUGGGGAAGGUGUUGUUGUUGUUGUUGGGGCAGGUGUUGUUGUUGUUGUUGUUGGGGCAGGUGUUGUUGUUGUUGUUGGGGCAGGUGUUGUUGUUGUUGUUGUCAGGGCAGGUGUUGUUGUUGUUGUUGUUGGGGCAGAUGUUGUUGUUGUUGUUGGGGCAGGUGUUGUUGUUGUUGUUGCUGUCGGGGAAGGUGUUGUUGUUGUUGUUGUCGGGGCAGGUGUUGUUGUUGUUGUUGUUGGGGCAGGUGUUGUUGUUGGGGCAGGUGUUGUUGUUGUUGUUGUUGGGGCAGGUGUUGUUGUUGUUGUUGUUGUUGGUGUUGUUGUUGUUGUUGUUGUUGUUGGGGCAGGUGUUGUUGUUGUUGUUGGGGCAGGUGUUGUUGUUGUUGUUGGGGAAGGUGUUGUUGUUGUUGUUGGGGCAGGUGUUGUUGUUGUUGUUGUUGGGGCAGGUGUUGUUGUUGUUGUUGUUGUUGUUGGGGCAGGUGUUGUUGUUGUUGUUGUUGGGGCAGGUGUUGUUGUUGUUGUUGUUGGGGCAGGUGUUGUUGUUGUUGUUGGGGCAGGUGUUGUUGUUGUUGUUGUUGGGGCAGAUGUUGUUGUUGUUGUUGUUGUUGUUGUUGUUGGGGCAGGUGUUGUUGUUGUCGGGGCAGGUGUUGUUGUUGUUGUUGUUGUUGGGGCAGGUGUUGUUGUUGUUGUUGUUGGGGAAGGUGUUGUUGUUGUUGUUGUUCGGGCAGGUGUUGUUGUUGUUGUUGUUGGGGAAGGUGUUGUUGUUGUUGUUGGGGCAGGUGUUGUUGUUGUUGUUGUUGGGGCAGGUGUUGUUGUUGUUGUUGUUGGGGCAGGUGUUGUUGUUGUUGUUGUCGGGGCAGGUGUUGUUGUUGUUGUUGUCGGGGAAGGUGUUGUUGUUGUUGUUGGGGCAGGUGUUGUUGUUGUUGGGGAAGGUGUUGUUGUUGGGGCAGGUGUUGUUGUUGGGGCAGGUGUUGUUGUUGUUGUUGGGGCAGGUGUUGUUGUUGUUGUUGGGGCAGGUGUUGUUGUUGUUGUUGGGGAAGGUGUUGUUGUUGUUGUUGUUGUUGUUGGGGCAGGUGUUGUUGUUGUUGUUGUCAGGGCAGGUGUUGUUGUUGUUUUUGGGGCAGAUGUUGUUGGUGUUGUUGUUGUUGUUGUUGGGGCAGGUGUUGUUGUUGUCGGGGCAGGUGUUGUUGUUGUUGUUGUUGUUGGGGCAGGUGUUGUUGUUGUUGUUGUUGUUGUUGGGGAAGGUGUUGUUGUUGUUGUUGGGGCAGGUGUUGUUGUUGUUGUUGUUGGGGCAGGUGUUGUUGUUGUUGUUGUUGUUGGGGCAGGUGUUGUUGUUGUUGUUGUUGGGGCAGGUGUUGUUGUUGUUGUUGGGGCAGGUUUUGUUGUUGUUGUUGUUGGGGCAGGUGUUGUUGUUGUUUUUGGGGCAGGUGUUGUUGUUGUUGGGGCAGGUGUUGUUGUUGGGGCAGGUGUUGUUGUUGUUGUUGGGGCAGAUGUUGUUGUUGUUGUUGUUGGGGCAGGUGUUGUUGUUGUUGUUGGGGCAGGUGUUGUUGUUGUUGGGGCAGGUGUUGUUGUUGUUGUUGGGGCAGGUGUUGUUGUUGUUGUUGUUGUUGGGUCAGGUGUUGUUGUUGUUGUUGUUGUUGUUGGGGAAGGUGUUGUUGUUGUUGUGGCAGGUGUUGUUGUUGUUGGGGCAGGUGUUGUUGUUGUUGUUGGGGAAGGUGAUGUUGUUGUUGUUGUGGCAGGUGUUGUUUUUGUUGUUGUUGGGGCAGGUGUUGUUGUUGUUCUUGUUGGGGCAGGUGUUGUUGUUGUUGUUGGGGCAGGUGUUGUUGUUGUUGUUGGGGCAGGUGUUGUUGUUGUUGGGGCAGGUGUUGUUGUUGUUGUGGCAGGUGUUGUUGUUGUUUUUGGGGCAGAUGUUGUUGUUGUUGUUGUUGUUGUUGUUGGGGCAGGUGUUGUUGUUGUUGUUGGGGCAGGUGUUGUUGUUGUUGUUGGGGCAGGUGUUGUUGUUGUUGUUGUUGUUGUUGGGGCAGGUGUUGUUGUUGUUGUUGGGGCAGGUGUUGUUGUUGUUGUUGUUGGGGCAGGUGUUGUUGUUGUUGUUGUUGUUGGGGCAGGUGUUGUUGUUGUUGUUGUUGGGGCAGGUGUUGUUGUUGUUGUUGGGGCAGGUGUUGUUGUUGUUGUUGGGGCAGGUGUUGUUGUUGUUGUUGGGGCAGGUGUUGUUGUUGUUGGGGCAGGUGUUGUUGUUGGGGCAGGUGUUGUUGUUGUUGUUGGGGCAGGUGUUGUUGUUGUUGUUGUUGGGGCAGGUGUUGUUGUUGUUGUUGGGGCAGGUGUUGUUGUUGUUGUUGUUGUUGUUGGGGCAGGUGUUGUUGUUGUUGUUGGGGAAGGUGUUGUUGUUGUUGUUGUUGUUGGGUCAGGUGUUGUUGUUGUUGUUGUUGGGGCAGGUGUUGUUGUUGUUGUUGUUGGGGCAGGUGUUGUUGUUGUUGUUGGGGCAGGUGUUGUUGUUGUUGUUGUUGGGGAAGGUGAUGUUGUUGUUGUUGUGGCAGGUGUUGUUGUUGUUGUUGUUGGGGCAGGUGUUGUUGUUGUUGUUGUUGGGGCAGGUGUUGUUGUUGUUGGGGCAGGUGUUGUUGUUGUUGUUGGGGCAGGUGUUGUUGUUGUUGGGGCAGGUGUUGUUGUUGUUGUGGCAGGUGUUGUUGUUGUUUGGGCAGGUGUUGUUGUUGUUGUCGGGGCAGGUGUUGUUGUUGUUGUUGUUGUUGGGGCAGGUGUUGUUGUUGUUGUUGUUGGGGCAGGUGUUGUUGUUGUUGUUGUUGUUGUUGGGGCAGGUGUUGUUGUUGUUGUUGUUGGGGCAGGUGUUGUUGUUGUUGUUGGGGCAGGUGUUGUUGUUGUGGCAGGUGUUGUUGUUGUUAGGGCAGGUGUUGUUGUUGUUGUUUUUGGGGCAGGUGUUGUUGUUGUUGUUGGGGCAGGUGUUGUUGUUGUUGUUGGGGCAGGUGUUGUUGUUGUUGUUGUUGGGGCAGGUGUUGUUGUUGUUGUUGGGGCAGGUGUUGUUGUUGUUGUUGGGGCAGGUGUUGUUGUUGUUGUUGUUGUUGGGGCAGGUGUUGUUGUUGUUGUUGUUGUUGUUGUUGUUGGGGCAGGUGUUGUUGUUGUUGUUGUUGUUGUGGCAGGUGUUGUUGUUGGGGCAGGUGUUGUUGUUGUUGUUGUUGUUGUUGGGGCAGGUGUUGUUGUUGUUGUUGUUGGGGCAGGUGUUGUUGUUGUUGUUGUUGGGGCAGGUGUUGUUGUUGUUGUUGGGGCAGGUGUUGUUGUUGUCGGGGCAGGUGUUGUUGUUGGGGCAGGUGUUGUUGUUGUUGUUGUGGCAGGUGUUGUUGUUGGGGCAGGUGUUGUUGUUGUUGUUGUUGUUGGGGCAGGUGUUGUUGUUGUUGUUGUUGGGGCAGGUGUUGUUGUUGUUUUUGGGGCAGGUAUUGUUGUUGUUGGGGCAGGUGUUGUUGUUGGGGCAGGUGUUGUUGUUGUUGUUGGGGAAGGUGUUGUUGUUGUUGUUGUUGGGGCAGGUGUUGUUGUUGUUGUUGGGGCAGGUGUUGUUGUUGUUGUUGUUGUUGUUGGGGCAGGUGUUGUUGUUGUUGGGGAAGGUGUUGUUGUUGUUGUUGUUGGGUCAGGUGUUGUUGUUGUUGUUGUUGGGGCAGGUGUUGUUGUUGUUGUUGUGGCACGUGUUGUUGUUGUUGGGGCAGGUGUUGUUGUUGUUGUUGGGGAAGGUGAUGUUGUUGUUGUUGUGGCAGGUGUUGUUUUUGUUGUUGUUGGGGCAGGUGUUGUUGUUGUUCUUGUUGGGGCAGGUGUUGUUGUUGUUGUUGGGGCAGGUGUUGUUGUUGUUGUUGGGGCAGGUGUUGUUGUUGUUGGGGCAGGUGUUGUUGUUGUUGUUGGGGUGUUGUUGUUGUUGUUGUUGUUGUUGUUGUUGGGGCAGGUGUUGUUGUUGUUGUUGUUGUUGGGGCAGGUGUUGUUGUUGUUGUUGUUGGGGCAGGUGUUGUUGUUGUUGUUGUUGGGGCAGGUGUUGUUGUUGUUGUUGUUGGGGCAGGUGUUGUUGUUGUUGUUGGGGCAGGUGUUGUUGUUGUUGUGGCAGGUGUUGUUGUUGUUAGGGCAGGUGUUGUUGUUGUUGUUUUUGGGGCAGGUGUUGUUGUUGUUGUUGGGGCAGAUGUUGUUGUUGUUGUUGGGGCAGGUGUUGUUGUUGUUGUUGUUGGGGCAGGUGUUGUUGUUGUUGUUGGGGCAGGUGUUGUUGUUGUUGUUGGGGCAGGUGUUGUUGUUGUUGUUGGGUCAGGUGUUGUUGUUGUUGUUGGGGCAGGUGUUGUUGUUGUUGUUGUGGCAGGUGUUGUUGUUGGGGCAGGUGUUGUUGUUGUUGUUGUUGUUGGGGAAGGUGUUGUUGUUGUUGUUGUUUGGGCAGGUGUUGUUGUUGUUGUUGUUGGGGCAGGUGUUGUUGUUGUCGGGGCAGGUGUUGUUGUUGGGGCAGGUGUUGUUGUUGUUGUUGUGGCAGGUGUUGUUGUUGGGGCAGGUGUUGUUGUUGUUGUUGUUGGGGAAGGUGUUGUUGUUGUUGUUGUAGCAGGUGUUGUUGUUGUUGUUGGGGCAGGUGUUGUUGUUGUUGUUGGGGCAGGGUUGUUGUUGUUGUUGUUGGGGCAGGUGUUUUUGUUGUUGUUGGGGCAGGUGUUGUUGUUGUUGUCGGGGCAGGUGUUGUUGUUGUUGUUGUUGGGGCAGGUGUUGUUGUUGUGGCAGGUGUUGUUGUUGUUGUUGUUGUUGUUGUUGGUGCAGGUGUUGUUGUUGUUGUUGGGGCAGGUGUUGUUGUUGUUGGGGAAGGUGUUGUUGUUGUUGUUGGGGCAGGUGUUGUUGUUGUUGUUUUUGGGGCAGGUGUUGUUGUUGUUGUUGUGGCAGGUGUUGUUGUUGUUGUUGGGGAAGGUGUUGCUGUUGUUGUUGGGGCUGGUUUUGUUGUUGUUGUUGUUGGGGAAGGUGUUGUUGUUGUUGUUGUUGUUGGGGCAGGUUUUGUUGUUGUUGUUGUGGCAGGUGUUGUUGUUGUUGUUGGGGAAGGUGUUGUUGUUGUUGUUGUUGGGGAAGGUGUUGCUGUUGUUGUUGGGGCUGGUUUUGUUGUUGUUGUUGUUGGGGAAGGUGUUGUUGUUGUUGUUGUUGGGGCAGGUUUUGUUGUUGUUGCGCUAGCUGUUGUUUUUGUUGUUGUUGUUGGGGCAGGUUUUGUUGUUGUUGUUGUUGGGGAAGGUGUUGUUGUUGUUGUUGUUGUUGGGGAAGGUGUUGUUGUUGUUGUUGUUGGGGAAGGUGUUGCUGUUGUUGUUGGGGCUGGUUUUGUUGUUGUUGUUGUUGGGGAAGGUGUUGUUGUUGUUGUUGUUGGGGCAGGUUUUGUUGUUGUUGCGCUAGCUGUUGUUUUUGUUGUUGUUGUUGGGGCAGGUUUUGUUGUUGUUGUUGUUGGGGAAGGUGUUGUUGUUGUUGUUGUUGUUGGGGAAGGUGUUGUUGUUGUUGGGGAAGCUGUUGUUGUUGUUUUUGUUGUUGGGGCAGGUGUUGUUGUUGUUGGGGCAGGUGUUGUUGUUGUAGUUGUUCCUGUUAUAACUGCCAGAAUUUUGGGCGACAAAAACAUUUCAGUUUUUUUAUCCAUUGUCAUUUUACAUAUAAAAUUUUUUCGCAUUGUUUUAAUGGCCAUAAAAUUUUUAAUAUUUGUUUCCUUUAUUAUUUAAAGCAUUUUGUUUACUUUGUAAUCAGGGUGGUAUUACAAACCAAACUGAUGCCCUAUAUCAUUUCUUUUGAUUAUUUAGUCAUUGGUUUAAGAGUUUUACUUUUUCUGUAUGUUGAACAGUUAUUCAUUGAAAUAGCUGUUAUUAAUAUCUUACUUUAAAUGACUUUCCAACGUUUGCUUUUUUUGAAUAUUUAAAAAGGAGCUAGCUUACCAGUAAGAAUUAGGAAAAGUGAUGUGGCCACCCCUCCUAUGGCCAUUUUGUCUUCUUUUAGGUCCGUCAAAAAGAAAGUCUGCAAACAAUCAAAUGGUUGGUGUUGUGCUUUUCCACACUUACAACAAAAACUGCAAAGUUACAAUGUUUGGUGUCCAUACUAAAUGUAUGCAAAAUUUCAAAUCACAAGGUGAAUGUUAUCAAAAGGAUGUAGACUGCUCAAUAUAGGAGCCUGAGCUGAUGACGUGAGACUCACUAAAAUGUCUACAUAGAUAUUAUAGGCUCUCCUUAUUAGUUCAUCUGUGUCUCUGGCAAAGCCCAAUGGCUUGCCCCCAACAGCGUGUGAAGUGACACUCACAGCGGAGCAGGGGAAAGCUGCUCUUCUGUUCUAUGCCAAAGUGACAAACACAGGGCUUUAAAAAAAAACUAAAUAUCAAGCUAUUAAAGAGGUAUCAGAAAGAAAAUAUAGAAAAAAAAAAAAGAAUAAUUCCCCAUCGUAAAAAACUAAAUCACAAAGGCACUGUGGAAAAUUAUUUGUUGGCUCCAUAGACUGUAUAUACUAUGGACAAUCUGAGGCCUGUACUAUGAAGCUGGAUUAACACAUCCAGGGUAACUCUGCGACAACUCGCUCAACUUCACCGGAUCUCCGCGAUCCCGAUCAGCUGUAUUACGAAGCCGGUGAUCAACUCGAUAACUGAAUCCAGGUGUGGCCACUUCAGAUCUGUGCGCGCACACGUAAAGGGGGUGGGGUUAGUUCCACUGGACCAAUCUCCACAGUGGAGAAGGCUGCACGUCUUUUUUCACAGCCGAAGAACAGAGCAUUAUUUUACGAGGAGUACAGCAACAUUAUAACAGUGAGGAGCAGGACAGCUGCUAAAAGCUGGUGGGACUUCUGGCAAAAAAAAAAAUCAUCAAUUGUGUAAAUUACAUUUGUGCAUUCAUAUAUUUAUGGCCCCCUAAUAUGUUGUCAUGCAGCGUGUGUGAUCACCUCCAUCAAUGACCUCAUUAUUUCAGAUACAACAGCAGUGGGGAAAAGAGUACGUGGGAGCAAAUAAAAAUAAAUCUAAAAACAUCCUUUAAAGUAGUUUAGUAGUAAGUUUAUUGGAAGAUUUUAUUUGUACAUAUUUCAACGCGUAAACAGUGAUUUCCUCACACUGCCUUCUUUUUUUUUUCUUAAUCAUCUGAUGGUCACAUGUCAUCUGCAGACACAUUUGGGGUUAAGAGGAGUUUUCCAAUCUGCUUCAAUAAAUUCUGAAUGAUGACUGAUAUGCUGCAUGAAAUUGGAACCUGGAGCUUGGCAAAUAUUAGUGCAUUGCUUAGACUUCAUGCUACAUUGAGGCCGUCCGAGGAAAACCUGUAACGUUCAUAGAGAACGUCAUCAGGUAAAUCAAACGGAUUUGAACAAUCAUGAAUAUAACGCAAAGCGCUCCUCUCAUUAUCCGUGCAACGAUGUCCCCGGAAUCCGGCAAAAGUGGGCAAGCCAUUUUCCAAGAGAUCUGAUUGGUCAGUGGGCGGUCUUUUAUACCUGCUGAGAUCUUAUCCUAAAACAUAACCUGCUCUGGAGCAGGUUUGGCGUUCCGCGCAAGUUACCGGGGUGUAUGGAAAACCCAGAAGUUAUCCAAAAGUUAUCUUGCUAAGACCAAAUCCAGCUUUGUAGUACAGGCCUCUGGUUCCGCCUACCGCCUGUAUACGGAUCUGAAGCCAAAAAGCUCUCGGUAUUUCCGGGAUUUUUCUUCAUUUCCUGAAACCAGUGCUGUGCAGUUGCGUUGUGCGCAUUCAGCCGCGCAGUCGCAGAGAGUCACUGUGAUGACACUCGGCUCAAACAGCGUAUCCCCCGGGAGAGCUACUCAAUCCCUGAACGCCCAUAGGCUGUAUUAGGUGUCAAUCAUAGAAAACAGGAACCCCCUAAUAACUUUUAAAAACGGAGCUUCACAGAAAAAUAGGACUUGAGAACAAACCAGUCUUACAAUAACUACAUGUCAACAUCCUAAGCUCCAUAAGCUUUGCUGGUGAAGGCGGGAUUUAUGACCUAUAUUGCAGCCCGUCAACAGAGGGUGUCCAUUCUAUAUACAGUCUAUGGUUGGCUCUAACUCAGUAAAGUCAUUUUUUCACAAUGUCUAUAGAAUACAAGUCAGAAUGAAUUAAUUCAAAAUUUGUUGAUUUUAUUUACCAAUUGUUUUAAUUAUUUGGUUGGGAAUCAAUUGAUGCUUGUUUCAGCCAUGUGUUUUUCCAGGUACUGUUUCAAUUAAAAAAAUAUAUGAUUGCAACAAUGUUUUGCAUACACACUUUUCGAUUUUCGAAUGACUGAAUUUAUCAAACCUAUUAAGUAUGAUAAAGCAUCAGGAAACAUGUUUCCCUCCUGGGGCGUCUUCCUGGUUUUAACCCUUUCAUACUUUUCAAGAAAGUGAAAUAUGAAAACAUUCAGUAUGGAAAGGCUUCAUGAGAGAAUCAACGUACGGGAAUUUCAAACUUUUGAUGAACUGAAUAAUUUGAACAUGAUCUGUCAAAUAUACUUUAAAAUAUAUUUUUAAGACUGUCCUUACAGAUUUAGAAGAGUAAGCUUUUGAGGAGAAUGGCUGGUCUGUAUAUCUUAGAGAGGUAUAAAUCAUUUAUCCUCACAGGUCUUACUUUAGGUUCCAAUAGCCAAAGCAA